RNAcentral lists this long non-coding RNA (475 nucleotides) under Homo sapiens (human). RNAcentral describes it as "HSALNT0133386". Lineage: Eukaryota; Metazoa; Chordata; Mammalia; Primates; Hominidae. The record is from RNAcentral.
UCCACGCAUGAAUAUGUAUUCCAAGAGGAGGAGGGCAAAAGGAACAUUGUCAAUAGAUGACAAAGCAUGGGAAAAGGCCGGAUGUGGAAAUGGAAUCGUGAGUCGGGAGGAAACGUGAGCAUUUCUCUAUGACUGCAGAAUAAACGACAGAUGGUGAAUCAUUCCCUUUUCAUUUGGAUGCAUCUGAAGAAGUCUUUGAAUUUCUGCAGGUGAAGAAGGACUGAAGAAGAAAGAAGCUGUCAGCAGUUUGAUUUCAGAAUAAAUCAUCUCUAUGACUAUCAAACCUAUUAAACUACCAAGAUGAGAACCUCUUAACUGAAUUUCAGUGAUUAUUGUUCUACAAAUAUGUGAUGUUUCUUGACUUUGCAACACAUUACAAAUGGCACUCAAUCCCAGAAAGAGGCAAGUAUUUCCCAUAUAAUGAGGAGGUGAAAAAAGAAAAUGUUGUGGUGCAGAAUUCCAAUAAACAUUCAGG